Molecule: ribosomal RNA, 430 nt
Filed under: Pseudomonadota bacterium
Lineage: Bacteria; Pseudomonadati; Pseudomonadota
Description: Proteobacteria bacterium partial 16S ribosomal RNA
Rfam family: Bacterial small subunit ribosomal RNA
Source: RNAcentral
UGGGGAAUAUUGGACAAUGGGGGGAACCCUGAUCCAGCCAUGCCGCGUGUGUGAAGAAGGCCUUAUGGUUGUAAAGCACUUUAAGCGAGGAGGAGGGUACUGGUAUUAAUACUACCAGGUACUGGACGUUACUCGCAGAAUAAGCACCGGCUAACUCUGUGCCAGCAGCCGCGGUAAUACAGAGGGUGCAAGCGUUAAUCGGAAUUACUGGGCGUAAAGCGCGCGUAGGUGGUUCGUUAAGUUGAAUGUGAAAGCCCCGGGCUCAACCAGGGAAGUGCAUCCAUAACAGGCGAGCUAGAGUAGGGCAGAGGGAGGUGGAAUUUCCUGUGUAGCGGUGAAAUGCGUAGGUAUAGGAAGGAAAACCAGUGGGGAAGGAGACCACCUGGGCUCAUACUGACACUGGGGUGCGAAAGAGUGGGGAGCAAACAGG